Molecule: ribosomal RNA, 396 nt
Filed under: uncultured bacterium
Lineage: Bacteria
Description: partial 16S ribosomal RNA
Rfam family: Bacterial small subunit ribosomal RNA
Source: RNAcentral
AUACGGAGGGUCCGAGCGUUAAUCGGAAUUACUGGGCGUAAAGCGCGCGUAGGUGGUUCAGUCAGUCAGAUGUGAAAGCCCCGGGCUCAACCUGGGAACUGCACCUGAUACUGCUGAGCUAGAGUACGGUAGAGGGCAGUGGAAUUUCCGGUGUAGCGGUGAAAUGCGUAGAGAUCGGAAGGAACACCAGUGGCGAAGGCGCCUGCCUGGACUGAUCCCGCCACUGAGGUGCGAAAGCGGGGGUAGCAAACAGGAUUAGAUACCCGGGUAGUCCACGCCGUAAACGAUGUCAACUAGCCGUUGGGGGACUUGAUCCUUUAGUGGCGAAGCUAACGCGAUAAGUUGACCGCCUGGGGAGUACGGCCGCAAGGUUAAAACUCAAAUGAAUUGACGGGG